GAUGAAGAACGCAGCGAAAUGCGAUAAGUAGUGUGAAUUGCAGAAUUCAGUGAAUCAUCGAAUAUUUGAACGCACAUUGCGCCCUUUGGUAUUCCAAAGGGCAUGCCUGUUCGAGCGUCAUUUGUACCCUCAAGCUUUGCUUGGUGUUGGGCGUCUUGUCUCUAGCUUUGCUGGAGACUCGCCUUAAAGUAAUUGGCAGCCGGCCUACUGGUUUCGGAGCGCAGCACAAGUCGCACUCUCUAUCAGCAAAGGUCUAGCAUCCAUUAAGCCUUUUUUUCAACUUUUGACCUCGGAUCAGGUAGGGAUACCCGCUGAACUUAAGCAUAUCAAUAAGCGGAGGA
This 341-nucleotide unclassified non-coding RNA is filed under the name soil metagenome. RNAcentral describes it as "partial contains 5.8S ribosomal RNA, internal transcribed spacer 2, and large subunit ribosomal RNA". The stretch from base 1 to 120 matches the Rfam family "5.8S ribosomal RNA", at positions 35 to 154 of the family's 154-position model. The record is from RNAcentral.